CUGGAUCCAAAAUGUUCUUUGGGCAUGAGAUUCUCAAUGUGGAAUUUACCAGUGAAGCUAACUCUGACAGUGGAAAUAUUCAUGAGCACACACUUGAAGAC
Long non-coding RNA from Scomber japonicus (chub mackerel), 101 nucleotides. RefSeq lists it as uncharacterized. The transcript has 3 exons. NCBI's taxonomy places the organism in Eukaryota, Metazoa, Chordata, Actinopteri, Scombriformes, Scombridae. The record is from RefSeq and is a predicted model, not a curated record.